RNAcentral lists this ribosomal RNA (253 nucleotides) under uncultured bacterium. RNAcentral's name for it is "partial 16S ribosomal RNA". It matches the Rfam family "Bacterial small subunit ribosomal RNA", at positions 524 to 776 of the family's 1533-position model. The record is from RNAcentral.
GACGAAGGUGGCAAGCGUUGUUCGGAAUCACUGGGCAUAAAGAGCACGUAGGCGGCUAAGUCAGUCGGAUGUGAAAUACCUCGGCUCAACCGAGGAACUGCGUCCGAUACUGCUUGGCUUGAGGUCCGGAGGGGAGAGUGGAAUUCCCGGUGGAGCGGUGAAAUGCGUAGAUAUCUGGAGGAACACCGGUGGCGAAGGCGGCAUCCUGGACCAACACUGACGCUGAGGAGCGAAAGCCAGGGGAGCAAACGGG